GAUUUCUGGGCAUCAGUUUCUGGCCGGCCACGGUUUCGUGUGUUAGUGCUUGAAGCUUUGCUCAUCCUUCCAAUCGCUAUGUACUGCUCUUCAUUGAGUGGUGCGUAGUAUUGGAUCUUUUACUUUGAAAAAAUUAGAGUGUUUCAAGCAGGCUUUAUGCUAUGAAUACAUUAGCAUGGAAUAAUAAUUUAGGACUUCGGUUCUAUUUUGUUGGUUUCUAGGACUGAAGUAAUGAUUGAUAGGGAUAGUUGGGGGUGCUAGUAUUCAGCGGCCAGAGGUGAAAUUCUCGGAUUCGCUGAAGACUAACUUAUGCGAAAGCAUU
RNAcentral lists this ribosomal RNA (322 nucleotides) under Sandona sp. RNAcentral's name for it is "SSU rRNA". The stretch from base 112 to 322 matches the Rfam family "Eukaryotic small subunit ribosomal RNA", at positions 744 to 955 of the family's 1831-position model. Lineage: Eukaryota; Cercozoa; Glissomonadida; Sandonidae. The record is from RNAcentral.